GCCUGAAUGGCUCAGUCAGCAGAGCAUGCGACUCUUGAUCUCAAGGUUGUGAGUUCGAGCCCUGCGUUGGGUA
RNAcentral lists this transfer RNA (73 nucleotides) under Felis catus (domestic cat). It matches the Rfam family "tRNA". From Rfam's summary of the family: Transfer RNA (tRNA) molecules are approximately 80 nucleotides in length. Their secondary structure includes four short double-helical elements and three loops (D, anti-codon, and T loops). The record is from Rfam by way of RNAcentral. Lineage: Eukaryota; Metazoa; Chordata; Mammalia; Carnivora; Felidae.